UUGGGAACGGAGUUUCAUCUCCCAACCCCUGUGACAUACCUUACUGUUGCCUCGGCGGAUCAGCCCGCUCCCGGUAAAACGGGACGGCCCGCCAGAGGACCCCUAAACUCUGUUUCUAUAUGUAACUUCUGAGUAAAACCAUAAAUAAAUCAAAACUUUCAACAACGGAUCUCUUGGUUCUGGCAUCGAUGAAGAACGCAGCAAAAUGCGAUAAGUAAUGUGAAUUGCAGAAUUCAGUGAAUCAUCGAAUCUUUGAACGCACAUUGCGCCCGCCAGUAUUCUGGCGGGCAUGCCUGUUCGAGCGUCAUUUCAACCCUCAAGCCCUCGGGUUUGGUGUUGGGGAUCGGCGAGCCUUUCUGGCAAGCCGGCCCCGAAAUCUAGUGGCGGUCUCGCUGCAGCCUCCAUUGCGUAGUAGUAAAACCCUCGCAACUGGAACGCGGCGCGGCCAAGCCGUUAAACCCCCAACUUCUGAAUGUUGACCUCGGAUCAGGUAGGAAUACCCGCUGAACUUAAGCAUAUCAAAAGCCGGAGGAA
This 534-nucleotide ribosomal RNA is filed under the name Fusarium redolens. Its description in RNAcentral is "eukaryotic LSU rRNA". The stretch from base 154 to 307 matches the Rfam family "5.8S ribosomal RNA". Lineage: Eukaryota; Fungi; Ascomycota; Sordariomycetes; Hypocreales; Nectriaceae. The record is from RNAcentral.